This 203-nucleotide non-coding RNA is filed under the name Sarcophilus harrisii (Tasmanian devil). RNAcentral's name for it is "Connexin-43 internal ribosome entry site (IRES)". It matches the Rfam family "Connexin-43 internal ribosome entry site (IRES)". Rfam says of the family: This family represents the connexin-43 internal ribosome entry site (IRES) which allows cap independent translation during conditions such as heat shock and stress. The record is from Rfam by way of RNAcentral. Lineage: Eukaryota; Metazoa; Chordata; Mammalia; Dasyuromorphia; Dasyuridae.
GGCUUUUACGAGAUAUCAGCACUUUUCUUUCAUUAGAGUGAAGGAGGGAGGAAAGGACAAAACGGCAGCAGACUUUUAAACUUUAAAUAGACAGGUCUGAGUGCCUGAACUGGCUUUUCAAUUUUAUUUCAGUCUCCAAAGAAUUCAGUCAUUUGCUUGGGCUGCAUCACUCCUUUUAAGCAAAAAAGUAAGUUUUAAAGAAA